RNAcentral lists this long non-coding RNA (5255 nucleotides) under Sparus aurata (gilthead seabream). RNAcentral's name for it is "lncRNA (ENSSAUG00010013181.1)". Lineage: Eukaryota; Metazoa; Chordata; Actinopteri; Spariformes; Sparidae. The record is from RNAcentral.
ACAGACCACAGUAAUCAACAAACUCAGCCAAAAUGAGAAGAGAGGCUUUGACUGGAUUUAAUCCUCCAUCCACUGUGCUCAGUUUUUCUGUCGCACUGUGUCCGACUGACUAACGCUCCACUGUAUAAAGACUUCAUUGGCUCUGAACAGACAGCCAGAACAAUAAACAACGAAAAUAGAUACAAAUGCAUGCUCAGAAGAGAGUGGGCUAAAAGAUGAGCUGAGAACAAUACCCCCAUGGACAUAAAAACUGGAAAUAUUUUGUCUUUUUUCUUCAAACUCUUGGAUUAUCUCUUAAAAUACAGUUCUGUCUCCAAUUUCAUUUCGACAUUGUAUUUACAAUGUUUUCAUGUCAUGGAGCAUUUGACAAAUGGAGUUUUCUGCUGCUAUAACAUAUUUUGAUUUCAAGACUGUCCUGACUUGCCAUUAAAACAGAGGAAACAUGCUAAAGUAUUUUACCAGAAAGGAAUAACCUAAACAUUUGACUGUGACAUUUCUCCAUUUCUUUUAUUUUGUCAUGGCCCUGUAGAAGCCAGCUGCCAUGAAUCUUAUGAAUUCUGAUAGCAAUUUUUUUCAGAAUCAGUGGAAUUAACAAAUUCACAAUUCAUUCUUCAAACUUCAGCCGUGCCUCCCACCAACCCCUCCCACCAUCAGCCAUCCGACCAAUCAUGGGCAAGCCUCUUAGCCGUCCCGGGUGUUUCAGGAAGAGCUCCUGCUGCCUGGAGAAACAUGGAGCUGGGGAUGGGGGAGUGGGAGGGCGAGCUGGGGGAGUGGAUGGGGGAUAUGGAGAUGGCUAUGUACCCCAAAGGUCCAUCUACGAUACCAUGUGCAUCAAUCAACAGAUAGACAGCCAACAUCAUCAACCUGGAGGGUCCAUAAGGCGAGACUGUGGAGGCGAGGGGAGUUUUAGCUACUCUGCAAGUGGCUCCCUGAGAGUUAGCAGGUCUCCAGCUGACAUGUUCGAUCCGCAACCCCGCUCUUUAACUCCAAACCCCUCAUUUGUGCGGCGACUGGAUGAAAGAGUUAUCUAUGAUUCUUUGAAACUUGGGGGUCAGGAUGCCGAUGGUGAUGGCUGCCAUUCUCCAGGACGUUUCACUCGAUCAGUUUCUCCCUCUGUAUCUUCAUUCUCAGCACCGGGAGUGUCCUCCUCCUCAUCCAAGAAACAUCAUCAUCACCACCACCAUCACCAUGGAGACAGCACAAAGAGUAGAGAUGGCCGACAUUCCUGGAAAGUCUUGACACCUCCAAAACACCUAGAGUGUCUGGAGCUCACUACAACUGAAAUGAUGGACAGAGGAGGUGGAUAUCUGAAUCCAGGGCACUACCAUCCCCCUGGGGGCCAGUCCUCCUCCCUUACCUCCCCCCUUAUUUCCCCCUUCUCUGGAUCACCUCUCUCUUCGGGUUACCAUACGCCAGUCUUUUUCUCCCCUGCCAAACCUCGUCCCAGUCAGACUCAGAGUUUGCGCUGUUCCCCUCCCCACAUCAUCCAGCCACGGCAUUACUCUCAAACCCAGAGCCUCAGGCUAUCACCGCCCCAUGAGCUUAGGCGAUCCCCCUACCGUUCCCCCCUAGUCCAACUGUCUGCUCAUGACCUUGAACAGGACCUCAGGGAUCGAGGAGGAGGAUGGGGCCGCAGUGAGCGAGAAAGAGAAUGGGAGAGGGAGAGGGAAAGGGAGAUGGAGAGAGGAUGGGCCCAGCGAGAGUGGGAAAGAGAGAGGGAGAGAGGGCGCCUCGAGAGAGAGAGGGCGAGAGAAAGGGAGAGGAGAGAAACAUCAACUUUUGGGACCUUCGGGUAUGGUCGACCAGUUCCUCUGCGUUCAGACAGAGACUCAGUGUUUUUAGAGCCCGACCAGGACACAACACCCCUGUUGCUCCCUCAGCCCUCACCUUCACCCUCCCCCUGUGCUGCUCCCAGAAUGGGCACUGGUGCUGUAGGAAGGAAUAGAGCGGGGUCAAAGGUUGGCCCUGAUAGUGUGGGUGGGGGAAUGGUUUCUAAGUUUGACAAUGGGAGUGUGGGUUUGGUGUUAGUUGACAGCAGAUCUGGUUGUGGGCCAAGGUUAGUUAGUGAAGUUGGAGCUGGAAACAUAGCAGAGGUUGAUAUUAGGGCUGGAAUACAAGAACACCACAGAUCUGAAAGUUGGAACAAAUAUGAUAAUGGAUCUAGAGCUAGCAUUAUAAAUGGGUCUGAAACAAGAAAAGGAUCCCAGGUGAAAACAAGACCAGGGGGGCGGGAUUUGGAAGGGAAAGUGCAGUCUGGUGUGGAGAAAAAAAAUAUGGCUCCUUGUGUGACUAAGGAGGGACAUAGGGGAAGUACAAGGAGUGGGGAAAAAAGUGGAAGGAUCAUUGUUAAACCAGAACGUAUUGAUGAGGCUAUACCUUCAACAAUGAGUGAAAGUGAGAACAAGGUUGGGCAUGUUGAUAAAGUUGGGAUUGUAACUGGAAGUGGUCCAAAGCCAGACUUUGAUGUAGAGGUUGAAACUAAAGCUAGUUCAAGACAGGUGGAGAACAGAAGUGGAGCAGACACUGGAAGUGUAGCUGAGGUUAAGAAUGAAGUUGGUUCAGCGAUAGAGUCUAGAGUAGAAGCUAACGUUGAGACAGAGGUAAAGAUUGCUCCUACACCUGCACCUGAGGCUGUGCCAGAAGCUGGGGUUGGUAAUAAGACAGGGACAAGGAGUAAUAAUGAGACUGUAGUUGCCUGUGAUAGCUGGAGCAGCAACAAGACGACAGAUAAAGCUCAGAUAAGUAUUGGGGCUGGGGAUAAAAUUGAUUCUGCCCCUGCAGAUCAGGCUGGGAAAAUGACUUUGGACAAAAUUGAUUCUAGCCAUGUAGAGAAAGGUUCCAGAUCCAAUAAGUCCAAAUCAUCCAAGUCCAGCUCCAGGAAUCGACCUGGCACCGCCACAGGGCUCCGACCAGGUGUAGUCAGCCCUCGACUAAGCAGAGGGCUUGGGGACCUUGAGACAACAUGCUCUACUGAGGGCAUUGAGUCCACCUGGCCUCGCCGAAUCAUUGUCAGAAAAAGGACUGUUCGGCAAGGUGGGGCAGUCCACAACCUCCCUAUUCUCCCUCCACUACCCUCUGUUCUAUCAGCAUUGGAGAAGAGGCGUCCGUUUGCCCUUCUCCAACCACAUCUAGGACACUUCUCAGAGAACCCGCUAACAAAUAUAAUGACUGCUAUAAGUAUGGUAGGACGAAGCUCACUUAAAGAACCCUCCCAUCCAGAACCAGGGCAGGGUAUCGCUUUGGUGGGCAGGGCUUCACUGAAGGAGCAGAACUUGGAACACUGGAGAGUCUGCAGAGAACAAGAAGAACCAAGGAGAUCCAGAAGCAAAGAGAAAAAAGGUGAGCCGAUCAAGGAGAAGAUGGAGAGGGAGGAGAGGAAGGAAAAGGAAGAGAAGAGAGAAAAGGAGGGGAGAGGAGAAAAAGACAAAAAGGAGGAGAGAUUGGAUAAGGAGAAAGUGAGGGUUACUGUUAGUCGCUGGGAGGUAGAGGAAUUCAAGCAAGAAAAUUCUGUGAGAAAUGUUGAGGGGAAAGUGCAAGAGGAUAAAAAAAAACAGGAAGAAGUGAAAAAGGAAAGUUGUGAAGAAAUGAAGUCUGAAAAGGGAGAGGAGAUAGAAAUGAUAAACAAGGAUGGAGAACAAGAGUUGCAUGGACAAGAGUUGGAGGAGGUCGUUGCUAUAUUAAAGACAGAAAAAGGUCAGUGUGAGGGAGAGGAAGGAGGGAUAUUUGGAGAUGACGGGGGGAUGGAGAGUUGGGAUGCUGUCCUUGAGAUGGUCACCACAUUAUGGGAUGAUGGCUGGGAAAAGGGGGGAGGGGGAGCUGUAGGUGAUACAGAUUCCUUCUCAGGCUCCUUGCAACGCUGGCCUCUUCUCCGGCCUCCGAUCGGCUUUGGAGGCUCCCACCCCCCAUCCUCAGCAGCCUCAGAGCUCAGCUUGACAGAGUUAGAAAGAAGAGCCAGGGAACUGGAUUCUGACCUGGAACAUCUAGACCUGUCUCAGCCCCAGAGGGACACACAGGAUGUAUACCAAACGCUGCUUGAGCCACAGAGGGAACGAGCUGACAUGUAUCAAACACACCCUGGGCCACAGAGAGAGAAAGCUGCUCUAUUGACAGGAGUGGCAAGCAGAUCUCAGGUCAGUUUGGAGCUCAGCACUAUGGCCUCACCAGCUACAGACAUGGACAGAUCUCCUGUUGACUGGUCAACAAAACUUGCUGGGACUUACACUGCUGGCACAAGCUCCACUAAGGAGGACAACUCUCCAGACUCCAACCUUACGUUGGAGUCAGACUCCAGCGGCGUCUUCCUCUCCUUAUCCAAUCAGAGCCAGGAGGAGGCCGGCUCUGAUAGUGACCAGCCAAUCAGUGGCUCUGACCUAGGCAGCAGCAACACAUCACUGGAGAAGGACGGGGACGAUGGAGGGUUAAAAGAAUGGGGGAGGGAGGAGAGUGCAGAGCUGCAAUGGUGCUACCCAUCUCUCCUCAACACAGAGGACACAAGAGGAGAUGAGGAAAGACAGGAAGCAGAGUAUGGUAAGAUGGGAACAGUUUCCGUCAUAAGGACCAUGCUUGACCAUACAGACAUCAGGGACUCCAGAAAUGUAAAUGCCCCACAAUGUGGAGAAAUACCACCCAGAAAAAAAGUGACCCUCAUGGGAAGUGAUUCCCCCCUGCCAUUGUCUCCCUCAAAACAACCAAUCAAACAUGUUGUAGAUCCUAAUCAGAAGCCAAUCCGAAGCUCAGGUUUGGACUGUGGUGACUUAGAUCCUUUUGUUCAGUCGGACAGCUUUGUUUACCUUGCCGUGUCUGCAAGACCUGCCUCCCGGGGUGAAGUCACCACAGUGACAGAAGUUCCCACUCAUCAUAGAAAACAAGACAGUGUACCACAACAUUCAGAUUGCAUGAAACCAUGCUUGGACCAGUCAAAUACAGAACGGGACAACAAGCCAACUCACCCUGCCCCACAUAAACCAGAGGAAGGAGACUUUUUGUGCACUGACAGCUUUGUCUAUCUGGCUGCUCCAGCAUGCCUCCUUCUUGGCCCUGCAGGGACUACACCUUAUAGUGGCAGGGAGUCAGACUCGGAGAGUUCAGGAUCUGGCGCUGUAGAUGUGUCAGUACUGGGUUGUGGCUCGGUGGCAGUCGCUCUUGCAGAAUCUCUGCUGCUGCAAACAAGUCUGCUGGCAUGGCACGGCCUAAGCGGCUGCCUACUGAACUGGGCUGGGACUUGUUUGGAGAAACAACUGAGCCUGAUGUGCUGA